Molecule: ribosomal RNA, 468 nt
Filed under: uncultured bacterium
Lineage: Bacteria
Description: partial 16S ribosomal RNA
Rfam family: Bacterial small subunit ribosomal RNA
Source: RNAcentral
GAUGAACGCUGGCGGCGUGCUUAAUACAUGCAAGUCGAGCGGAAGGACGAUGCUUUUGUUGGGUUCUCGAGCGGCGAGCACGUGAGUAACACGCGCGUAACCCACCCUUGACUUACUGGUAAAUUCACGAGACAAGGGCGAAUACAGGAUAGGAGAUCUUGCUGCGUGGUGUGGCUUGGUAAGUUACGGCGGUUCGGGAUGGACUCGCGGCUUAUCAGCUUGCUGGUGUGGUUGUGGCUUACCAAGGCUAUGACGGGUAGCCGGCCUGAGAGGGUGACCGGGCACAAGGGCACUGAGCUACGGCCCAGACUCGUACGGGAGGCAGCGGUGGGGAAUCUGGCACAAUGGGCGGAAGCCUGAUGCAGCAACGCCGCGUGCGGGAUGAUGGCCUUCGGGUGGAGAACAGCUUUCGCCUGUAACGUAGCGUAAGUGACGGUAAUGGAUAAAGAAGCACCGGCUAACUACGUG